This 381-nucleotide ribosomal RNA is filed under the name uncultured eukaryote. Its description in RNAcentral is "partial 18S ribosomal RNA". It matches the Rfam family "Eukaryotic small subunit ribosomal RNA", at positions 592 to 976 of the family's 1831-position model. The record is from RNAcentral.
CAAUAGCGUAUAUUAAAGUUGUUGCGGUAAAAAAGCUCGUAGUUGGAUUUCUACCGAAGAUAGCCGGUCGGGUCUUCGACCUUGUAUCUGGUUUUGUCUUUGGUAUCCUCAUAGGGAACGUUUCUGCGCUUUAUUGCGUGGUGCGGUAUCUAUGACUUUUACUUUGAGGAAAUUAGAGUGUUCACGGCAGGCAAACGCCUUGAAUAUAUUAGCAUGGAAUAAUAACAUAGGAUCUUCGUCCUAUUUUGUUGGUUUCUAGGGCUAAGAUAAUGAUUAAUAGGGAUAAUUGGGGGCAUCUGUAUCAACGCGUCAGAGGUGGAAUUCUCGGAUUGCGUUGCGACAAACUACUGCGAAAGCAUUUGCCAAGGAUGUUUUCAUUGA